GGAUGAGCUCAGUAUGGAAAUUGGGCUUGGCCUUGAAUUGUAGUCUGGAGAUGUACCACCAACUGGGGCGCAGAUGUAAGCCCUGAAAAGAGCAUCAAUGAGGGUGAGAGUCCCGCUUGGCAUCUGCAGUCCCCAGUGCACGGUGUACCUCUAAGAGUCACGUUCCUCGGGAUUGGAGCGCAAAUCGGGUGGUAAGUUUCAUCUAAAGCUAAAUAUAGUUUCGAGACCGAUAGCAAACAAGUACCAUGAGGGAAAGGUGAAAAGGACUUUGAAAAGAGAGUUAAAAGUGCCUGAAAUUGCUGAAAGGGAAGCGAAUGGAACAGCGUAACUUGGCGAGAUUGCUGCGUGUCAAUGUGAUUGCUUUGCUUCAACGUAAGUGUUGUAGUAAGUCUUAACAGCAUCGCGGUGCUUCUUGCCUUGUGUGUCACCGUCAGUUCGCAACUGGGGAACUAGGGACAUGGUAGCCUGUCUCCGGGUGGGUGAACGU
Molecule: ribosomal RNA, 487 nt
Filed under: Scrippsiella sp.
Lineage: Eukaryota; Dinophyceae; Peridiniales; Peridiniaceae
Description: LSU rRNA
Rfam family: Eukaryotic large subunit ribosomal RNA
Source: RNAcentral